Molecule: long non-coding RNA, 1386 nt
Organism: Gallus gallus (chicken)
Lineage: Eukaryota; Metazoa; Chordata; Aves; Galliformes; Phasianidae
Source: Ensembl
CUUUCUUAGUUGAAGACCCCUUCUUGAUAAUGGAUGUUUUAUAGUUAGAGACUCUGUCACUAGUGGGGUUUCACUCACCGUCCUGGUGCCCUAUCAGUAAUUACUUCUUCCCUGUGGGGCUGUUCAGCAGUGACCAUAUCAGUGUACAGGUGAUGGUGCUAUGGCAGUAGAGGUUGAACCUUCUCACCAAUAUUGUUACAUGUUCUUGCCAUCUGACAAAUGGCAGCAGAGGGGCAGUCUGACAUGGAAGUGCUUAUGAAGAAAGAACAUAUCAUUCAAUUCCUCUCUGUGGAAAAAAUUGCAUCCACUGACAUUCAUUGAUGCUUUUUAGUACAGAAUGGUGGUGGGUGAUGUGUUGCAGCAGUGGUGACAGCAGUGUGAAAGACAAGCCAUAUUCAAGACAGCCUGCACAACUGUCACACCACAAAGAAUGUCUUGAUCAGCUCAUCCAUGCAAGUCUACUAAUAGUGGUGACUACAUUGAAAAAUAGUGUUUUGUAGCUGAGAAUUUGCUCUUUCAAAUAGUGUUAUUGUGCUCUUUGCAUCUGUUCUAGUUCCUGUGGAAACAAAUAGGAAGCAUUACUUUUGGAGUAACCUACAUACCUCAUGGCAUGGAACCACUUCAAGUCUCUUCUCUUAGUCCUGUGCUCACAUGUAGAGUCAUUGGGCAUCUCAGCAUCAUGUUUCCACAUGUUCUGGAUCCUGCCAAGACAUUCCAGCUUAGGCACAGUGUAAAGCCUAAUUUUUUGUACUUUUACACCAUUCUGUUGCUGAGUUAAGAAACUUUCAGAACUCUCAUGUGGGACACUAGCAACUUUCCAUCAAACAGCACUGAGCAUAUAAUCAGCAAACAUUACCAUAGUUCACUAUGCUAGCUGGGCUUAACUAAUUUGAGUUUCCUGUUGCUGUGAGUAAUAUUAUGGCUAACAUAAUACAUAUGAACUACAGCUGUGUACUAUUACUGUGUAUGAUCUUACUACUUUUACUUGGCCCUGAGGGAAAGCAUUUAUAUUUUUCCUCUUUGAAAGUAGUAGUUUUCUGGCUAGUACAUCCUUUUUUCUUCCACUCCCACUGUGGCUAUCUCUUUUCUGCGAUUUAAACAGGGUGAUGGCUUGCAGAUUUUUUUUUAGUGAAUGUCUAAUUAACAUUUAUUUAUAAUCUUUUCUGAUGCAAGUUGGUCCCUCUGAACAUUCACAAAAUCUUUAUUGAAUGAUUCAGUUAGUUAUAGUAGAAUUCCAGUUGUGCUACUUUUACCUCAUCUUUUUUUGAAACAAUGAGCAGCAGGCACUGCAGGGUGAUAUUGAAAAACAGCUCUGAAAAGUCGUUCUCGAUCACCCAUUCAUUAAUUAUAUGUACCAAUGGAAUUCAUGAAUAAACUCCUGGUAAU